This 240-nucleotide ribosomal RNA is filed under the name uncultured Lactobacillus sp. Its description in RNAcentral is "partial 16S ribosomal RNA". It matches the Rfam family "Bacterial small subunit ribosomal RNA", at positions 122 to 355 of the family's 1533-position model. The record is from RNAcentral. Lineage: Bacteria; Bacillati; Bacillota; Bacilli; Lactobacillales; Lactobacillaceae.
UAACCUGCCCAAGAGAUCGGGAUAACACCUGGAAACAGACGCUAAUACCGGAUAACAACAGAUGAUGCCUAUCAACUGUUUAAAAGAUGGUUCUGCUAUCACUCUUGGAUGGACCUGCGGUGCAUUAGCUAGUUGGUAGGGUAACGGCCUACCAAGGCGAUGAUGCAUAGCCGAGUUGAGAGACUGAUCGGCCACAUUGGGACUGAGACACGGCCCAAACUCCUACGGGAGGCAGCAGCU